UACAAAAUUUUAGUGCGAAGCU
This 22-nucleotide microRNA is filed under the name Drosophila mojavensis. RNAcentral's name for it is "Dmo-Novel-8_3p (mature (guide))". Lineage: Eukaryota; Metazoa; Arthropoda; Insecta; Diptera; Drosophilidae. The record is from RNAcentral.